This 443-nucleotide ribosomal RNA is filed under the name uncultured bacterium. RNAcentral's name for it is "partial 16S ribosomal RNA". It matches the Rfam family "Bacterial small subunit ribosomal RNA", at positions 28 to 507 of the family's 1533-position model. The record is from RNAcentral.
GAUGAACGCUGGCGGCAUGCCUAACACAUGCCAGUCGAUCGGUAAGGCUCUUCGGAGUACACGAGAGGCGGACGGCUGAGUAACGCGUAGGAACACACCCUGCAGUGAGGGAUAAGACACCGAAAGGUGUUCUAAUACCGCAUACGGUCUUCGGAUUAAAGCAUUUAUGCGCUGAAGGAGUGGCCUGCGUCAUAUUAGAUAGUUGGUGAGGUAAUGGCUCACCAAGUCGAUGAUGUGUAGCUGGUCUGAGAGGAUGAUCAGCCAGACUGGAACUGAGACACGGUCCAGACUCCUACGGGAGGCAGCAGUGAGGAAUAUUUCACAAUGAGCGAAAGCUUGAUGGAGCAAUGCCGCGUGCAGGAUGAAGGCCCUCGGGUUGUAAACUGCUUUUAUAAGAGAAGAUUAUAACGGUAACUUAUGAAUAAGGGACGGCUAACUACGUG